CGCAAAAUGAUCCAACCCACAAUUUCCACUGCAUUUCGUGCUAUACGUCAAAGUGGAAGAACUGUCCGAUACGCGUACACGUUCAUCCGAGAAUCACCGCCUGGGACCUCAUUCAAACUUCUUCACCGACAUGACUAUGUGAUUGUGAUGUGAACUACAAAAAAAUGCAAACCAAUACUUCAGAUCUUGCCUGGAUUCCUGCCUCUUUCAAAGUUUUAUAAGUAGGAACAAUGGCUGCAUGUCUGGCACUGAAAUCUGAGGAAGAAUUGGGGUUCUUGCUAGAAAACCACAAAAGAGCCACUUACACUUCAUUCAAUACAUGGUCUGAACAUAAAAAGGAUAAAAUCAAAAGAAGGCUACUUUGGCAAGUGGAGGAUUAUGCAGACGAUGUCCCCGUUUGUGUUGGAAAAAGAGCUAUCCUUGCAUGGCAAAGCAUCGAAAAGACCUUCUACAGCUGAGGAACAGCCUUCAGAACAUGUAUAUAGCAAGAAAAUAUUAUAUGUGUAGAGGGGCAAAAAAGUGGACUGUCCAGCAAAGCUUUUCAUUUGGCAUGUAACUAGGUAUGACACAUUUAGUGUCAAAGGGGAUGCUUCAAGGGCAAAAAAACAAGAAGCAAUGAAAAGGCUGAAAGAGGCAUUGACUCGGACAAGCCCAGCUACAUCAUGUCAAGUUCUCAAUCGCUGAAGCACACCAAAAUCACACUGUCAAUGAAGCAAGUUGCUUUAAAAGAAAGAUGCAUCCACAAGAAAACAUGGGACAGGACAGAGACUCCAGACAGCAGGAGGAAAACAUGGGACAGGACAGAGACUCCAGACAGCAGGAGGAAAACAUGGGGCAGGACAGAGUCAGGGAAAAUCACAGCUGAAGAGUGUGCGUUAAGAGUUGAAUUAAACAAAAUAAUGGAUGCUA
This is a non-coding RNA of Oncorhynchus mykiss (rainbow trout), 909 nucleotides long. The record is from RefSeq and is a predicted model, not a curated record. NCBI's taxonomy places the organism in Eukaryota, Metazoa, Chordata, Actinopteri, Salmoniformes, Salmonidae.